Molecule: ribosomal RNA, 499 nt
Filed under: uncultured Bifidobacterium sp.
Lineage: Bacteria; Bacillati; Actinomycetota; Actinomycetes; Bifidobacteriales; Bifidobacteriaceae
Description: bacterial SSU rRNA
Rfam family: Bacterial small subunit ribosomal RNA
Source: RNAcentral
GCCGGAUGCUCCAGUUGGAUGCAUGUCCUUCUGGGAAAGAUUCAUCGGUAUGGGAUGGGGUCGCGUCCUAUCAGCUUGAUGGCGGGGUAACGGCCCACCAUGGCUUCGACGGGUAGCCGGCCUGAGAGGGCGACCGGCCACAUUGGGACUGAGAUACGGCCCAGACUCCUACGGGAGGCAGCAGUGGGGAAUAUUGCACAAUGGGCGCAAGCCUGAUGCAGCGACGCCGCGUGCGGGAUGACGGCCUUCGGGUUGUAAACCGCUUUUGACUGGGAGCAAGCCCUUCGGGGUGAGUGUACCUUUCGAAUAAGCACCGGCUAACUACGUGCCAGCAGCCGCGGUAAUACGUAGGGUGCAAGCGUUAUCCGGAAUUAUUGGGCGUAAAGGGCUCGUAGGCGGUUCGUCGCGUCCGGUGUGAAAGUCCAUCGCUUAACGGUGGAUCCGCGCCGGGUACGGGCGGGCUUGAGUGCGGUAGGGGAGACUGGAAUUCCCGGUGUAA